Molecule: long non-coding RNA, 2841 nt
Organism: Tupaia belangeri chinensis (Chinese tree shrew)
Lineage: Eukaryota; Metazoa; Chordata; Mammalia; Scandentia; Tupaiidae
Exons: 4
Source: RefSeq, a predicted model, not a curated record
AGAGCGAUUUCUUACACUCUCUCUCUCUGUCCCUGGUGCGACCUACUCAUUAUCCGGCAACACUGACCAACCUUACCAUGUGAAACCUCCCAUGUGGUCUCUCGAGGGUACUGCGGAGUGUGAGGAAAGCGAAGGAGGAAGAAAGUGUGCGGAAGGAGGUAGUGAACAGAGCCUGGGAGCACAAGCUUCGUAGCCUUUCAGACCGGCACGUUCGUCUCUCCACCCAGGCACCCAGCGCCUGAAGGUGCUCACUGCCUGCCAAAGCAGCUGCAAGGAUCAGAGGAAUGUAGAUGAAGCGACUACACCGAACGCCGCUCCUGGGACCUCGUGUUCAAGAAAAGAUUUGUUGGAGACAAGCCACCAUGGCUUCUCUGUUAUUUUCUGCAUGGUGUGAAUUAAGUUUCUACCUGCACUGGAAUCAUGACCCACGGCUGGCCAGGUGCACCUUAAACCCAAAUUCAGCCCCAGUGGCCAGACGAGGGCCGAAGAGUACAUCGUCUCCUCCCUCCCACUCGGGAGCACGAUCGAAGUCCGUUUGACACUGGUAGCCUCAAAGAAGUAACCAAGCAGCCCUUACAAACAGCCAGCACUUGGUUCCCCAUGCUUGUCGGAGCAGAGCUCGUCGGGGGACCCGCGACUGUCCCCACAGCCCGCCAUUGGGCGCAAAGUCCGAAUAGCACCAGCAGCUUUAGGUGAGUCAUUGUAAUGCAUGAAUAAUGCAAAUCGGCAGAUUAUUUUUAAAGAUCACUUCUCUUUGACUCAUUUUAUGUAUCUAGAGACAUGCAAGUAGAACCUCUACCCGUGGUUAACGACUGUUGGCCUCAGAGCCAGUUCAAAUUCAUGGAUUGCCCAAAAGUACACACUUUGAUGGCCACAGAUGAUGGUUCCCAAAACAAUCAGCCACGUCGCCGGAGAAGCCAGCUGGGGUCUUCCUCUCACUCUGUGGCCAACGCCCCCACAGGGAAACAGAAUCAGUUGUGUCAUUCCAGCAGAACUCUCGGCCUAAAAUCCAAGCCAAGCGGUGUUGGGGGUUGUUGAGGUUAUUCCACAAGAAAAUCUCCAUAAUCUAAGUUAGGUGGCAUUUUCAAAUCACACGGCUAGAGAGGAGGGUUUCUACUUCUUACACCUCCCAGCUGCUGUGGCUCCCUCCCCUGGGGUGGAAAUACUGCCAGCCAAUCUAAAAGCUGUCUCCUGCGGCUGCGCUUCUUCCCUCCCACGGCCUCAGAGAGGCAAGGGAGACCUGCGUCCACGGGAUAGCGACUGCCAGCCAGUACCCACCGUGGGCCCGGUGUGUGUCAGCACGUUCCCUGCAGGACACCACUGGCCUUCAUACCAAGCCCAGAAACUAGCCGCGUUGUUAUCUCCAUUUUAUGGGUCAGGAAACGAUGGCUCAGAAAGGCUCAAGAAUGCACUCGGGUCCCGACAGCUCGUGGGGAGUCCUGCCCAGCCUUAAGAUGGAGUCCAGGGGCACAACACUCAGCGUCUGGGUGGAAUCCAGGUGACGCGCCAUCGCCCUGUCAUCCACUCACAGAAUAAUAAUACAGGGUCCUUCCUUCUGCGGUCAGAGACAGAGGUGGCUGUACAGGUUGAUUUAGCAAAUGAAGCCUUUAGAGAGCUGCAGAGCUGGCCCAGUCGCGCCUCUGUGCUCGGUACACAGGAGGAAAGGCCCAGGCUGAUUUCUCAGGGGUAUGGGCAGCCCCGUCUUUCCUCCGGAUCCCAAAGGCGUACUUGUGCCUCAUAGAGGGAAUCGCCCACAGUGUGUCUGGGUCAUCUUCUGUCUUACGCACUGACUCAGACAAGGAGUAGGAUUUACUGAGCAUUCACAAGAGGGCAGACCCGUUCUCACGUCAGUCCCAGACCUGCCCUCCUAAUUCUGUGAGUCCCAAAGUCUCUCUCUUCAGGGUAUCUGCUCUCAGAGAAACGGCUGCCCAGUUUAUUGACUGUCAGACGGCAGUGGCCUUCCCAGAGGUGUUUGCAUCUUCACGGGAGACUCACCGUCUACCUAAACUCAACGUACAAAAGAAUGAAUCUCUAAUGGUGGAAGGUCAAGCAUCCGUUCUCGGCUAGCGGGAGUAAGACCUUGGAGUGAAAAUUCGCCCCUCAGUCUUUAAAACCACCUUACAUUGGCAUUUAAGUCUUGUUACGCCUGUUGGUACUCGUAUCCCGGCCCUACAGGUCUCAGGCAAGGCAUGGAGUUAGAGAACAACAGCAAAAAAGAACAUAGAAAAUUAAAAAACAAAACUGGGCCGAAAUCAGGAGCGCACGAAUCCCAAGUCCCAGCUCUGCCACAAGGUGGAGACCCCAGGGAAGGAGGCCCCCAGACCGAGUCCUGAGACAUGAAGGCAGAGGGUGCCUGGGUCUGCUCUGCCCUACGAGCCCUUGGUCCUCAGCCUUGGGGUUUGGACUUAGGUGCUUUGUUUUCUAUUUUCUGGGAAACCAGAACUCCUGAUUUUUAGUCUUCUAAUGAAAUGAAGAAGGGGGGUGUCUGGACAAGCCACAUUCAUGGGUUCUGUUCAACUCUUCCAUUCCAGUGUUGGAAACUCUGUGGCGGGCUUUCAGGGAAGGGCGCCCUCUCCAGCUCUGAGCAAGUGAGAGGGAAGACGGAAGAGGCACCUGGAGAGCUGCGCUCUGAGGGCUGGAGCACUUGGGCCUCGGGGAUACCCAGCCCCGGCCGGCCGGGGUGCAGCAGGGACACGGUGACCUCGCUGCAAACACCAUCACGUACAUCCGCAUCCUAGAGCGGCUGACGGCUGAGGGUGGCUGCGUAUCAGGGCCCCGUGUGGGUGCUCUUGCUCUUCCAUUUCUACCUCGGUCUCUAUCCAUUUCUCUCUCUCUCAUGGA